GGAGUUUGAGAUGUCUGACCUUGUAUCAGAGAACAAGGAAAAUGAGAAGCCAGCUGAAUCUGAAGAAGUCCCCGUGGAGUUUGAGAUGUCUGCCCCUGUAUUAGAAGAGCAUAAGGAAGAUGAAAAGCCAGCUGAAUAUGAAGUAGCUCCCGUGGAGGGUGAGAAAACUGAAAACGGCCUGGCGGUUGAAUCCACAGUGUCACCUCCAGCAACUUCAGAGGAAAAGAAAGUAGAAGCAGAUAGCACCAUCAAUCCGGCGACCCCUCCUCCAGCGGAGGUGAAGGCAGAUGCUCCAGCGGCAGAGGCAGCAAAGGCUGCGGAGAAUCCAGCAGACAACACUGCUCACAAGGAUGACCAGGGUAACGCCGGCACCACGGGAGAACAAUCCACCGGGAACGUCGACAACAAUGGACAGAUUCAUCCAGGUGUUUCUACCGUGCGGUGCAUCUGAAGGUAGGUUCCGUGGACGACGACAGGCGAGGCGAGGCGAAACG
Molecule: long non-coding RNA, 494 nt
Filed under: Triticum aestivum (bread wheat)
Lineage: Eukaryota; Viridiplantae; Streptophyta; Magnoliopsida; Poales; Poaceae
Description: long non-coding RNA (TAES_LNC007823)
Source: RNAcentral